This is a long non-coding RNA of Pogoniulus pusillus (Red-fronted tinkerbird), 543 nucleotides long. RefSeq lists it as uncharacterized. Lineage: Eukaryota; Metazoa; Chordata; Aves; Piciformes; Lybiidae. The transcript is spliced from 2 exons. The record is from RefSeq and is a predicted model, not a curated record.
GGAAAUACUGGAAGUGGUUGUGAUCAAGUGUGAAGCAGGACUUGGAACCUUGCAGCUAACAUCUGAGAAAAGCAGGGUCCUGCUUCCUACACAGGGCUUGGGGAGACUCUGGUGUGGACACAGCUGAGUGGAUUAAAAGUUCCCAUCAAUAUACCAAUCCAUGUGUGACAGCAUUGUGAAGAAAGCACUCCUUUAUUCACUGAAUGACAGUAUUCAGUUGAGAACAUUUAACAAGAAUGCAAAUGGACAGAUCUGCUCUCAUUCUGACCAUGGCUAAAUUUAAGCAUAAGCACCAGAAAAUAUAGGUCACUGAUUAAUUCACUGAGAUUCUGCAUUCUUGCUCUGCAAUAAUGCCUUAAUGACAAGUUACAGCAAACUCUUAAAUGUGAUAAUUAAUUCUGGUUACACAUUAUUAAGGUCAGAGAAACUAACAGGUUCACUAAUGAUUUCUAUUUUAGAACAUGGGGCAUUUCAAUCAAGAGUAUAUAAAAUAGUAAAUGUAAGGGAAUUUAACAGCAUUUACUGGCUUAGUACAUGAUUAAA